AUGUACAGCAACAGCACCCCCUGCGAUUGGAAAGUUUAUUCAGAAACGUGCUUGCAAAGUCCCCCGGCGUCUCCCGCCUCCCAGGCUCCCUGCCUGCCUACACCACCCAGCCGCUGCCGCCGCCGCCGCCUCAGGGGAGAUCGCGCUCCGAUUCCAAAUCAGGAAGGGCCGGGAGGGGAGAGGAAAUGGACUCGCGUCCUAGGGCGGCGCGAGGGUGCAGGGUGGACACCGGUGGCCCCGGCCCGCGAGACCCCGAGCUGCAGGUGGAGGCGUCCGCGAAGCCACUAAAUGAAUGUCACUGCGGAGGGAGGAGGGGAGGCUGGACUUCGAGGUGGCCCGCUGGAGGGAAGGGGAGGAGAGAAGAAGAACGAGCUCCUAGGAGGCCUUCGAAAAAUAAAUAAAAAAAUAAAAGCCCCCUUCAGGUAACAAUGGUGAGCCAGGUUCUUUCUGAACCUGGCUUUUCAAAUCUGAAUCUUGGUCCCAUCCAUCCAUAAAAGUCCAUACAAAGAGAAGAUAUAUAAAUGGGUGAAUUGUGUUGUGGAAAUAUAUACUGUAUGUGUGUGAUUUAUAUAUAAUGGUGUGUAUAAAGCUUUUCAGGGUUGGCGGUAGUGUAAAAAGUAAUGACUUUAUUACCUCUGAAAGGUUCUGUGGUUCACAUUUAACAGUCUUCUGAAUUACAAUUCAUUACACAAUUGUGUGCUCUCUAAAACCGGCACCCUAUCAGGGCCGCUAUCUGUGGUUAUUUCCAAUAAAUAACUGGCAACAUUUUAUUGAUUUUCUUUUUUAAAAAAUCAUAGGAAAUUAAGCACUUAGUUACAAGUAGGUCUGCUAUUCUGUUGCACUUGUCUCAGAUUCCAGGGGGGUCCCUUCCAAAACCACAUCUUAAAACGUAACAUUAAAAAGCCAGCAUCGCAGCUGCUUUCGCUGGGUGACAACGGAGAGGUAAGCAGGGACGUUUCUACCAUUAACAUCUAUUUAAUUUCACCACCAUAAAAUGCCCAGGGUGAAGUAACUGCCCUCCGCUCCCGCCCCUCCCCCGGCCAGGUUUCCCCCGGUCCGAGAAGCCAGGUCUGUGCGUCGGCAUCUGACCGCUCCUCCGGCCGACCCCCCUCGCGAGUCCCUCGCGCUCCGGUACCGGCGACGCCCCCUCCUCUUCGCCGCCUGAGGCUCACUCCAGAGCCCCAAAGUGGGGGAGGGGACGGGCUCGUACCUUGUGUUUAAAGAAGUAAAAAUGUGCUGCUUUAGGAGAUUUAAAAAUAUUACAUAAGUAUUGAUUGAUGAUGCAGGUGGUUUUGCAGAGGGGGGUGAAAGAUCACUUUGAACGCGCACACUUGGAUAUACAAUAAGUAUAUUUACCUUUCCAGGAGUGGCUUUUAGAAAGUAAUAAAUUAUGACAACGUUGAAAUUAUUUUCUGGCCGGUCAGUUAACUUCGUUUGGGGCUGGGGAACCUUCGCCGCUCUUUUGGAGAGGGUAAUUACGCUCGGAGGGCUCUUUCCCAACCCUCUGGUGACGACACUGCCCGUAAACUCUAGGCCAGCAGGCGACCCCUCCCCUCCUCCUCCCUCUCUCUAUCCCGCCCGAAGAGAAGACUCCCCAGUACCUCCUGCAGUAUAUAUUAUGCCUCUGAUCUCCGUACUUAAUAGCCAAGCC
RNAcentral lists this long non-coding RNA (1651 nucleotides) under Fukomys damarensis (Damara mole-rat). RNAcentral's name for it is "lncRNA (ENSFDAG00000025665.1)". Lineage: Eukaryota; Metazoa; Chordata; Mammalia; Rodentia; Bathyergidae. The record is from RNAcentral.